RNAcentral lists this long non-coding RNA (420 nucleotides) under Monodelphis domestica (gray short-tailed opossum). Its description in RNAcentral is "lncRNA (ENSMODG00000035122.2)". Lineage: Eukaryota; Metazoa; Chordata; Mammalia; Didelphimorphia; Didelphidae. The record is from RNAcentral.
AUGUGAUGAAGGCAUUUUGAACUUUCAGCCUUCUUUCUAGUAACUGAGAUCUCCAAGCGUCUGCACAGUGCUGCGGAGGACCGCAGGCAUCCUGCUAACUGUGCAGUAUUUCCUUGAGGAACCAGGUCCUUGUGGGAACUCUGUCUUCUUGCCUCAUGUCAUUAGUCUUCAGCAUGUGUGCCCUCUACCCCAGGAAAAGAGAGGAACUUCAAUAGAUGGAGAAAGUAAUGGAGGAAAAAUAGUCUUCAGAGCUGAAACAGAUUUCCUUUCAUGGAGUACAGCUUUUAAAUCAGAAUUUAUAUGAAUACCAACAUCAGUGACAGCGAUCCAAACGCAAAGUUAUUUACAAGGAAUAGAAGAAAAAAGGUAAGUUGUAAUCUUAACUAAUAGGUUUUUAUUUAUGAAAAAUUCAUUUUUUAG